This 253-nucleotide unclassified non-coding RNA is filed under the name uncultured Actinomycetes bacterium. RNAcentral's name for it is "uncultured actinobacterium contains 16S-23S intergenic spacer region". It matches the Rfam family "Bacterial small subunit ribosomal RNA", at positions 524 to 776 of the family's 1533-position model. The record is from RNAcentral. Lineage: Bacteria; Bacillati; Actinomycetota; Actinomycetes.
UACGUAGGGUGCGAGCGUUGUCCGGAAUUAUUGGGCGUAAAGAGCUCGUAGGCGGUUUGUCGCGUCGGCCGUGAAAACCUACAGCUUAACUGUGGGCGUGCGGUCGAUACGGGCAGACUUGAGUUCGGUAGGGGAGUCUGGAAUUCCUGGUGUAGCGGUGAAAUGCGCAGAUAUCAGGAGGAACACCGGUGGCGAAGGCGGGACUCUGGGCCGAUACUGACGCUGAGGAGCGAAAGCGUGGGGAGCGAACAGG